GACGAACGCUGGCGGCGUGCUUAACACAUGCCAGUCGAACGGAAAGGCCUGCUUUCCCUUAUGGAUUGCGGGUACUCGAGUGGCGAACGGGUGAGUAACACGUGAGUGAUCUGCCCCCAACUUGGGUAUAAGCCUGGGAAACUGGGUCUAAUUCCCGAUAGGACUGCAGGGUGGUGCCUGUGGUGGAAAACGAUUUUCUAGUGGUUGGGGAUGAGCUCGCGGCCUAUCAGCUUGUUGGUGGGGUAAUGGCCUACCAAGGCGGCGACGGGUAGCCGGCCUGAGAGGGUGGACGGCGACAUUGGGACUGGGAUACGGCCCAGACUCCUACGGGAGGCAGCAGUGGGGAAUAUUGCACAAUGGGCGGAAGCCUGAUGCAGCGACGCCGCGUGGGGGAUGACGGCCUUCGGGUUGUAAACUCCUUUCGACCGCGAGGAAGCCACCUGGUUGGAAGGGUGGUGACGGUAGUGGUAGAAGAAGCACCGGCUAACUACGUG
This 494-nucleotide ribosomal RNA is filed under the name uncultured bacterium. RNAcentral's name for it is "partial 16S ribosomal RNA". It matches the Rfam family "Bacterial small subunit ribosomal RNA", at positions 28 to 507 of the family's 1533-position model. The record is from RNAcentral.